AAGGUUAAAACUCAAAUGAAUUGACGGGGGCCCGCACAAGCGGUGGAGCAUGUGGUUUAAUUCGAUGCAACGCGAAGAACCUUACCUGGUCUUGACAUCCACGGAAGUUUUCAGAGAUGAGAAUGUGCCUUCGGGAACCGUGAGACAGGUGCUGCAUGGCUGUCGUCAGCUCGUGUUGUGAAAUGUUGGGUUAAGUCCCGCAACGAGCGCAACCCUUAUCCUUUGUUGCCAGCGGUCCGGCCGGGAACUCAAAGGAGACUGCCAGUGAUAAACUGGAGGAAGGUGGGGAUGACGUCAAGUCAUCAUGGCCCUUACGACCAGGGCUACACACGUGCUACAAUGGCGCAUACAAAGAGAAGCGACCUCGCGAGAGCAAGCGGACCUCAUAAAGUGCGUCGUAGUCCGGAUUGGAGUCUGCAACUCGACUCCAUGAAGUCGGAAUCGCUAGUAAUCGUGGAUCAGAAUGCCACGGUGAAUACGUUCCCGGGCCUUGUACACACC
Molecule: ribosomal RNA, 501 nt
Filed under: Shigella flexneri
Lineage: Bacteria; Pseudomonadati; Pseudomonadota; Gammaproteobacteria; Enterobacterales; Enterobacteriaceae
Description: bacterial SSU rRNA
Rfam family: Bacterial small subunit ribosomal RNA
Source: RNAcentral